AGAGUUUGAUCCUGGCUCAGGAUGAACGCUAGCUACAGGCUUAACACAUGCAAGUCGAGGGGCAGCAUGGUCUUAGCUUGCUAAGGCCGAUGGCGACCGGCGCACGGGUGAGUAACACGUAUCCAACCUGCCGUCUACUCUUGGACAGCCUUCUGAAGGGAAGAUUAAUACAAGAUGGCAUCAUGAGUCCGCAUGUUCACAUGAUUAAAGGUAUUCCGGUAGACGAUGGGGAUGCGUUCCAUUAGAUAGUAGGCGGGGUAACGGCCCACCUAGUCUUCGAUGGAUAGGGGUUCUGAGAGGAAGGUCCCCCACAUUGGAACUGAGACACGGUCCAAACUCCUACGGGAGGCAGCAGUGAGGAAUAUUGGUCAAUGGGCGAGAGCCUGAACCAGCCAAGUAGCGUGAAGGAUGACUGCCCUAUGGGUUGUAAACUUCUUUUAUAAAGGAAUAAAGUCGGGUAUGCAUACCCGUUUGCAUGUACUUUAUGAAUAAGGAUCGGCUAACUCCGUGCCAGCAGCCGCGGUAAUACGGAGGAUCCGAGCGUUAUCCGGAUUUAUUGGGUUUAAAGGGAGCGUAGAUGGAUGUUUAAGUCAGUUGUGAAAGUUUGCGGCUCAACCGUAAAAUUGCAGUUGAUACUGGAUAUCUUGAGUGCAGUUGAGGUAGGCGGAAUUCGUGGUGUAGCGGUGAAAUGCUUAGAUAUCACGAAGAACUCCGAUUGCGAAGGCAGCCUGCUAAGCUGCAACUGACAUUGAGGCUCGAAAGUGUGGGUAUCAAACAGGAUUAGAUACCCUGGUAGUCCACACGGUAAACGAUGAAUACUCGCUGUUUGCGAUAUACAGCAAGCGGCCAAGCGAAAGCGUUAAGUAUUCCACCUGGGGAGUACGCCGGCAACGGUGAAACUCAAAGGAAUUGACGGGGGCCCGCACAAGCGGAGGAACAUGUGGUUUAAUUCGAUGAUACGCGAGGAACCUUACCCGGGCUUAAAUUGCAGAUGAAUUACGGUGAAAGCCGUAAGCCGCAAGGCAUCUGUGAAGGUGCUGCAUGGUUGUCGUCAGCUCGUGCCGUGAGGUGUCGGCUUAAGUGCCAUAACGAGCGCAACCCUUGUUGUCAGUUACUAACAGGUCAUGCUGAGGACUCUGACAAGACUGCCAUCGUAAGAUGUGAGGAAGGUGGGGAUGACGUCAAAUCAGCACGGCCCUUACGUCCGGGGCUACACACGUGUUACAAUGGGGGGUACAGAGGGCCGCUACCACGCGAGUGGAUGCCAAUCCCAAAAACCUCUCUCAGUUCGGACUGGAGUCUGCAACCCGACUCCACGAAGCUGGAUUCGCUAGUAAUCGCGCAUCAGCCACGGCGCGGUGAAUACGUUCCCGGGCCUUGUACACACCGCCCGUCAAGCCAUGGGAGCCGGGGGUACCUGAAGUGCGUAACCGCGAGGAGCGCCCUAGGGUAAAACUGGUGACUGGGGCUAAGUCGUAACAAGGUA
This 1486-nucleotide ribosomal RNA is filed under the name metagenome. RNAcentral describes it as "bacterial SSU rRNA". It matches the Rfam family "Bacterial small subunit ribosomal RNA". The record is from RNAcentral.